AUGGGCGACAUCGGGAGCCGGCGGUCGGACUACUUUAUACUAGCGGCGCUCGCGCUCGUGCCGAUCGCCGCAAUGGCUCUGCUCGUGUGCCUCGCCCUACUAGGCGACAGAGGGCCGCUCUACUCCGCCGCCAUCGACGCCGCCACCGGCCUCGACGCCGCCGACCUCGGCCGCCACGAUCUGAGCCCGCUCUUCAACCUCACCCUCCGCGUCGCCUCGCGGAGCCUCUUCAGCGGCGACUGCACCGCGCCCGGCGCCGUCGUGGAGGUGAGCUACGCCGGCGUCCCGCUCGCCGCGGGGCCCGUCCCGCGGUUCUGCACCAAGCCAAGGGAGGCCAGGGAGCUGCGGGCCGUCGUGGCGUGGGGGGAGGCCGUGAAGGUCCCUGGGUUCGUGCUCGACGGCCUCGCGGCGGACGCGCGGCGAGGGACGCCGGUGUUCGACGUGGCGGUCACCAUGCCGGGGACCCACUGGAGCGGACACCAUGGAACGAUGGUGUCGUGCAGCGCCCUGCGCGUCGGGGACACGGCCUCGUUGGGAGCUACGUGCGCCGCUUCGGACGUCGACACCGUCGUGACGCUGCCCAGGCCCAGCGGCAAGCUCGACGGCGGCGCCACCUGA
This 618-nucleotide ribosomal RNA is filed under the name Triticum aestivum (bread wheat). Its description in RNAcentral is "partial small subunit ribosomal RNA". Lineage: Eukaryota; Viridiplantae; Streptophyta; Magnoliopsida; Poales; Poaceae. The record is from RNAcentral.